AUUGAACGCUGGCGGCAUGCCUAACACAUGCAAGUCGAACGGUAACAGGCCUUCGGGCGCUGACGAGUGGCGGACGGGUGAGUAACGCGUGGGAAUCUGCCUAGUAUGGGGGACAACCUGGGGAAACUCAGGCUAAUACCGCAUACGCCCUACGGGGUAAAGCAGGGGACCUUCGGGCCUUGCGCUGAUGGAUGAGCUCGCGUCGGAUUAGCUUGUUGGUGAGGUAAAGGCUCACCAAGGCGACGAUCCGUAGCUGGUCUGAGAGGAUGACCAGCCACACUGGAACUGAGACACGGUCCAGACUCCUACGGGAGGCAGCAGUGGGGAAUAUUGCACAAUGGGCGCAAGCCUGAUGCAGCCAUGCCGCGUGUGUGAAGAAGGCCUUAGGGUUGUAAAGCACUUUCAGCAGUGAGGAAAGGGGUGUCGUUAAUAGCGCCAUCCUGUGACGUUAACUGCAGAAGAAGGACCGGCUAACUCCGUG
This 481-nucleotide ribosomal RNA is filed under the name uncultured bacterium. Its description in RNAcentral is "bacterial SSU rRNA". It matches the Rfam family "Bacterial small subunit ribosomal RNA", at positions 30 to 507 of the family's 1533-position model. The record is from RNAcentral.